ACCAGGAUGGCCAAGUGGUUAUGGUGUUGGACUUAAGAUCCAAUGAAUGAGUAACCAUAUGGGUUCAAACUCAACUCUUGGUA
Molecule: transfer RNA, 83 nt
Filed under: Xenopus laevis (African clawed frog)
Lineage: Eukaryota; Metazoa; Chordata; Amphibia; Anura; Pipidae
Rfam family: tRNA
About the family: Transfer RNA (tRNA) molecules are approximately 80 nucleotides in length.
Source: Rfam by way of RNAcentral